Molecule: ribosomal RNA, 615 nt
Filed under: Pestalotiopsis vismiae
Lineage: Eukaryota; Fungi; Ascomycota; Sordariomycetes; Amphisphaeriales; Sporocadaceae
Description: eukaryotic LSU rRNA
Rfam family: 5.8S ribosomal RNA (bases 231-384)
Source: RNAcentral
GGUCUCCGUUGGUGAACCAGCGGAGGGGAUCAUUAUAGAGUUUUCUAAACUCCCAACCCAUGUGAACUUACCAUUGUUGCCUCGGCAGAAGCUGCUCGGUGCACCUUACCUUGGAACGGCCUACCCUGUAGCGCCUUACCCUGGAACGGCUUACCCUGUAGCGGCUGCCGGUGGACUACCAAACUCUUGUUAUUUUAUUGUAAUCUGAGCGUCUUAUUUUAAUAAGUCAAAACUUUCAACAACGGAUCUCUUGGUUCUGGCAUCGAUGAAGAACGCAGCGAAAUGCGAUAAGUAAUGUGAAUUGCAGAAUUCAGUGAAUCAUCGAAUCUUUGAACGCACAUUGCGCCCAUUAGUAUUCUAGUGGGCAUGCCUGUUCGAGCGUCAUUUCAACCCUUAAGCCUAGCUUAGUGUUGGGAGCCUACUGCUUUUGCUAGCUGUAGCUCCUGAAAUACAACGGCGGAUCUGCGAUAUCCUCUGAGCGUAGUAAUUUUUAUCUCGCUUUUGACUGGAGUUGCAGCGUCUUUAGCCGCUAAACCCCCCAAUUUUUAAUGGUUGACCUCGGAUCAGGUAGGAAUACCCGCUGAACUUAAGCAUAUCAUAAGCGGAGGAGUCAAG